GACGAAGUGGCCGAGUGGUUAAGGUGAUGGACUACUAAUCCAUUGUGCUCUGCACUCGUGGGUUCGAAUCCCAUCCUCGUCG
RNAcentral lists this transfer RNA (82 nucleotides) under Danio rerio (zebrafish). RNAcentral's name for it is "tRNA-Ser (ACT) (tRNA-Ser-ACT-1-1)". It matches the Rfam family "tRNA". From Rfam's summary of the family: Transfer RNA (tRNA) molecules are approximately 80 nucleotides in length. Their secondary structure includes four short double-helical elements and three loops (D, anti-codon, and T loops). The record is from Rfam by way of RNAcentral. Lineage: Eukaryota; Metazoa; Chordata; Actinopteri; Cypriniformes; Danionidae.